RNAcentral lists this ribosomal RNA (332 nucleotides) under uncultured bacterium. RNAcentral's name for it is "bacterial SSU rRNA". It matches the Rfam family "Bacterial small subunit ribosomal RNA", at positions 9 to 347 of the family's 1533-position model. The record is from RNAcentral.
GAGUUUGAUCCUGGCUCAGAUUGAACGCUGGCGGCAGGCUUAACACAUGCAAGUCGAACGGUUAAUUGGUGCUUGCAUCAAUUGAUAGUGGCGAACGGGUGAGUAAUACCUAGGAAUCUGCCUAAUAGUGGGGGAUAACGUUCGGAAACGGACGCUAAUACCGCAUACGUCCUACGGGAGAAAGGGGGCACUUGUGCUCUCGCUAAUAGAUGAGCCUAGGUCGGAUUAGCUAGUUGGUAGGGUAAAGGCCUACCAAGGCUACGAUCUGUAGCGGGUCUGAGAGGAUGAUCCGCCACACUGGAACUGAGACACGGUCCAGACUCCUACGGGAG